GUGGGGAAUAUUGCACAAUGGGGGAAACCCUGAUGCAGCAACGCCACGUGUGGGAAGAAGCAUUUCGGUGUGUAAACCACUGUCAUGAGGGAAUAAGGCCCGCCUUCGGGCGGGAUUGAAUGUACCUUGAGAGGAAGCACCGGCAAACUUCGUGCCAGCAGCCGCGGUAAUACGAGGGGUGCAAGCGUUGUUCGGAAUUACUGGGCGUAAAGGGAGCGUAGGCGGAGAUUCAAGCGGAUUGUACAAUCCCGGGGCCCAACCCCGGCUCUGCAGUCCGAACUGGAUCUCUUGGAUAGUUCAGGGGCAGGCGGAAUUCCUGGUGUAGCGGUGGAAUGCGUAGAGAUCAGGAAGAACACCGAUGGCGAAGGCAGCCUGCUGGGGACUUAUCGACGCUGAGGCUCGAAAGUGCGGGUAGCAAACAGG
RNAcentral lists this ribosomal RNA (423 nucleotides) under uncultured rumen bacterium. RNAcentral's name for it is "bacterial SSU rRNA". It matches the Rfam family "Bacterial small subunit ribosomal RNA", at positions 354 to 776 of the family's 1533-position model. The record is from RNAcentral.